UUAAGUGACUAAGCGUACACGGUGGAUGCCUGGGCAGUCAGAGGCGAUGAAGGACGUACUAACUUGCGAUAAGCGCAGAUAAGGCAGUAAGAGCCGUUUGAGUCUGCGAUUUCCGAAUGGGGAAACCUAACUGCAUAAGCAGUUACUGUUAACUGAAUACAUAGGUUAACAGAGCAAACCGGGGGAACUGAAACAUCUAAGUACCCCGAGGAGAAGAAAUCAACCGAGAUUCCGGUAGUAGCGGCGAGCGAACCUGGAUUAGCCCUUAAGCACUCGGUGAAGUAGGUGAACAAGCUGGAAAGCUUGGCGAUACAGGGUGAUAGCCCCGUAACCGACGCUUCAUCGAGCGUGAAAUCGAGUAGGGCGGGACACGUGAUAUCCUGUCUGAAUAUGGGGGGACCAUCCUCCAAGGCUAAAUACUCCUGACUGACCGAUAGUGAACCAGUACCGUGAGGGAAAGGCGAAAAGAACCCCUGUGAGGGGAGUGAAAUAGAACCUGAAACCGUGUACGUACAAGCAGUAGGAGCACCUUCGUGGUGUGACUGCGUACCUUUUGUAUAAUGGGUCAGCGACUUAUAUUCAGUGGCAAGGUUAACCGUAUAGGGGAGCCGUAGCGAAAGCGAGUCUUAACUGGGCGCUCAGUCUCUGGAUAUAGACCCGAAACCGGGUGAUCUAGCCAUGGGCAGGUUGAAGGUUGAGUAACAUCAACUGGAGGACCGAACCGACUAAUGUUGAAAAAUUAGCGGAUGACUUGUGGCUAGGGGUGAAAGGCCAAUCAAACUCGGAGAUAGCUGGUUCUCCCCGAAAGCUAUUUAGGUAGCGCCUCGGACGAAUACUACUGGGGGUAGAGCACUGUUAAGGCUAGGGGGUCAUCCCGACUUACCAACCCUUUGCAAACUCCGAAUACCAGUAAGUACUAUCCGGGAGACACACGGCGGGUGCUAACGUCCGUCGUGGAGAGGGAAACAACCCAGACCGCCAGCUAAGGUCCCAAAGUAUUGCUAAGUGGGAAACGAUGUGGGAAGGCUCAGACAGCUAGGAUGUUGGCUUAGAAGCAGCCAUCAUUUAAAGAAAGCGUAAUAGCUCACUAGUCGAGUCGGCCUGCGCGGAAGAUGUAACGGGGCUAAGCAAUACACCGAAGCUGCGGCAAUGUCUUUUAGAUAUUGGGUAGGGGAGCGUUCUGUAAGCCGUUGAAGGUGAAUCGUAAGGUUUGCUGGAGGUAUCAGAAGUGCGAAUGCUGACAUGAGUAACGACAAAGGGGGUGAAAAACCUCCUCGCCGGAAGACCAAGGGUUCCUGUCCAACGUUAAUCGGGGCAGGGUGAGUCGACCCCUAAGGUGAGGCCGAAAGGCGUAAUCGAUGGGAAACGGGUUAAUAUUCCCGUACUUCUGACUAUUGCGAUGGGGGGACGGAGAAGGCUAGGUGGGCCAGGCGACGGUUGUCCUGGUUCAAGUGCGUAGGCUUGAGAGUUAGGUAAAUCCGGCUCUCUCUAAGGCUGAGACACGACGUCGAGCUGCUACGGCAGUGAAGUCAUUGAUGCCAUGCUUCCAGGAAAAGCCUCUAAGCUUCAGAUAGUCAGGAAUCGUACCCCAAACCGACACAGGUGUCGGGUAGAGAAUACCAAGGCGCUUGAGAGAACUCGGGUGAAGGAACUAGGCAAAAUGGUACCGUAACUUCGGGAGAAGGUACGCUCUUGAUGGUGAAGUCCCUCGCGGAUGGAGCUGACGAGAGUCGCAGAUACCAGGUGGCUGCAACUGUUUAUUAAAAACACAGCACUGUGCAAAAUCGCAAGAUGACGUAUACGGUGUGACGCCUGCCCGGUGCCGGAAGGUUAAUUGAUGGGGUUAGCGUAAGCGAAGCUCUUGAUCGAAGCCCCGGUAAACGGCGGCCGUAACUAUAACGGUCCUAAGGUAGCGAAAUUCCUUGUCGGGUAAGUUCCGACCUGCACGAAUGGCGUAAUGAUGGCCACGCUGUCUCCACCCGAGACUCAGUGAAAUUGAAAUCGCUGUGAAGAUGCAGUGUACCCGCGGCUAGACGGAAAGACCCCGUGAACCUUUACUACAGCUUGGCACUGAACAUUGAACCUACAUGUGUAGGAUAGGUGGGAGGCUUUGAAGACGUGACGCCAGUUGCGUUGGAGCCGUCCUUGAAAUACCACCCUUGUAUGUUUGAUGUUCUAACUUAGACCCGUUAUCCGGGUUGAGGACAGUGCCUGGUGGGUAGUUUGACUGGGGCGGUCUCCUCCCAAAGAGUAACGGAGGAGCACGAAGGUGGGCUAAUCACGGUUGGACAUCGUGAGGUUAGUGCAAUGGCAUAAGCCCGCUUAACUGCGAGAAUGACGGUUCGAGCAGGUGCGAAAGCAGGUCAUAGUGAUCCGGUGGCUCUGUAUGGAAGGGCCAUCGCUCAACGGAUAAAAGGUACUCCGGGGAUAACAGGCUGAUACCGCCCAAGAGUUCAUAUCGACGGCGGUGUUUGGCACCUCGAUGUCGGCUCAUCACAUCCUGGGGCUGAAGUCGGUCCCAAGGGUAUGGCUGUUCGCCAUUUAAAGUGGUACGCGAGCUGGGUUUAGAACGUCGUGAGACAGUUCGGUCCCUAUCUGCCGUGGGCGUUGGAAGAUUGAAGGGGGCUGCUCCUAGUACGAGAGGACCGGAGUGGACGAACCUCUGGUGUUCGGGUUGUGUCGCCAGACGCAUUGCCCGGUAGCUAAGUUCGGAAUUGAUAAGCGCUGAAAGCAUCUAAGCGCGAAGCGAGCCCUGAGAUGAGUCUUCCCUGACAGUUUAACUGUCCUAAAGGGUUGUUCGAGACUAGAACGUUGAUAGGCAGGGUGUGUAAGCGUUGUGAGGCGUUGAGCUAACCUGUACUAAUUGCCCGUGAGGCUUAACCAU
This 2884-nucleotide ribosomal RNA is filed under the name Vibrio cholerae HE39. RNAcentral's name for it is "bacterial LSU rRNA". It matches the Rfam family "Bacterial large subunit ribosomal RNA". Lineage: Bacteria; Pseudomonadati; Pseudomonadota; Gammaproteobacteria; Vibrionales; Vibrionaceae. The record is from RNAcentral.